GACGGGGACCCGCACAAGCGGUGGAUGAUGUGGAUUAAUUCGAUGCAACGCGAAGAACCUUACCUACCCUUGACAUGUCCGGAACUUGCCAGAGAUGGCUUGGUGCCCGAAAGGGAAUCGGAACACAGGUGCUGCAUGGCUGUCGUCAGCUCGUGUCGUGAGAUGUUGGGCUAAGUCCCGCAACGAGCGCAACCCUUGUCAUUAGUUGCCAUCAUUUGGUUGGGCACUCUAAUGAGACUGCCGGUGACAAACCGGAGGAAGGUGGGGAUGACGUCAAGUCCUCAUGGCCCUUAUGGGUAGGGCUUCACACGUCAUACAAUGGUCGGUACAGAGGGUUGCCAACCCGCGAGGGGGAGCUAAUCCCACAAAGCCGAUCGUAGUCCGGAUCGCAGUCUGCAACUCGACUGCGUGAAGUCGGAAUCGCUAGUAAUCGUGGAUCAGCAUGUCACGGUGAAUACGUUCCCGGGUCUU
This 471-nucleotide ribosomal RNA is filed under the name uncultured Rhodocyclaceae bacterium. RNAcentral describes it as "bacterial SSU rRNA". It matches the Rfam family "Bacterial small subunit ribosomal RNA", at positions 912 to 1382 of the family's 1533-position model. Lineage: Bacteria; Pseudomonadati; Pseudomonadota; Betaproteobacteria; Rhodocyclales; Rhodocyclaceae. The record is from RNAcentral.